UAAGGGAUAUUGCGCAAUGGGCGAAAGCCUGACGCAGCAACGCCGCGUGGAGGAAGAAGGCCUUCGGGUUGUAAACUUCUUUUAGCAGGGACGAGGAAGGACGGUACCUGCUGAAUCAGUCACGGCUAACUACGUG
Molecule: ribosomal RNA, 136 nt
Filed under: uncultured bacterium
Lineage: Bacteria
Description: partial 16S rRNA
Rfam family: Bacterial small subunit ribosomal RNA
Source: RNAcentral